GACGAACGCUGGCGGCGUGCUUAACACAUGCAAGUCGAACGGAAAGGCCCUGCUUUUGUGGGGUGCUCGAGUGGCGAACGGGUGAGUAACACGUGAGUAACCUGCCCUUGACUUUGGGAUAACUUCAGGAAACUGGGGCUAAUACCGGAUAGGAGCUCCUGCUGCAUGGUGGGGGUUGGAAAGUUUCGGCGGUUGGGGAUGGACUCGCGGCUUAUCAGCUUGUUGGUGGGGUAGUGGCUUACCAAGGCUUUGACGGGUAGCCGGCCUGAGAGGGUGACCGGCCACAUUGGGACUGAGAUACGGCCCAGACUCCUACGGGAGGCAGCAGUGGGGAAUAUUGCACAAUGGGCGGAAGCCUGAUGCAGCAACGCCGCGUGCGGGAUGACGGCCUUCGGGUUGUAAACCGCUUUCGCCUGUGACGAAGCGUGAGUGACGGUAAUGGGUAAAGAAGCACCGGCUAACUACGUGCCAGCAGCCGCGGUGAUACGUAGGGUGCGAGCGUUGUCCGGAUUUAUUGGGCGUAAAGGGCUCGUAGGUGGUUGAUCGCGUCGGAAGUGUAAUCUUGGGGCUUAACCCUGAGCGUGCUUUCGAUACGGGUUGACUUGAGGAAGGUAGGGGAGAAUGGAAUUCCUGGUGGAGCGGUGGAAUGCGCAGAUAUCAGGAGGAACACCAGUGGCGAAGGCGGUUCUCUGGGCCUUUCCUGACGCUGAGGGGCGAAAGCGUGGGGAGCGAACAGGCUUAGAUACCCUGGUAGUCCACGCUGUAAACGGUGGGUACUAGGUGUGGGGUCCAUUCCACGGGUUCCGUGCCGUAGCUAACGCUUUAAGUACCCCGCCUGGGGAGUACGGCCGCAAGGCUAAAACUCAAAGGAAUUGACGGGGCCCCGCACAAGCGGCGGAGCAUGCGGAUUAAUUCGAUGCAACGCGUAGAACCUUACCUGGGUUUGACAUGGAUCGGGAGCGCUCAGAGAUGGGUGUGCCUCUUUUGGGGUCGGUUCACAGGUGGUGCAUGGCUGUCGUCAGCUCGUGUCGUGAGAUGUUGGGUUAAGUCCCGCAACGAGCGCAACCCUUGUUCACUGUUGCCAGCACGUUAUGGUGGGGACUCAGUGGAGACCGCCGGGGUCAACUCGGAGGAAGGUGGGGAUGACGUCAAGUCAUCAUGCCCCUUAUGUCCAGGGCUUCACGCAUGCUACAAUGGCUGGUACAGAGAGUGGCGAGCCUGUGAGGGUGAGCGAAUCUCGGAAAGCCGGUCUCAGUUCGGAUUGGGGUCUGCAACUCGACCUCAUGAAGUCGGAGUCGCUAGUAAUCGCAGAUCAGCAACGCUGCGGUGAAUACGUUCCCGGGGCU
RNAcentral lists this ribosomal RNA (1346 nucleotides) under uncultured bacterium. Its description in RNAcentral is "bacterial SSU rRNA". It matches the Rfam family "Bacterial small subunit ribosomal RNA", at positions 28 to 1381 of the family's 1533-position model. The record is from RNAcentral.